RNAcentral lists this transfer RNA (73 nucleotides) under Endomicrobium sp. Its description in RNAcentral is "tRNA-Thr". It matches the Rfam family "tRNA". From Rfam's summary of the family: Transfer RNA (tRNA) molecules are approximately 80 nucleotides in length. The record is from RNAcentral. Lineage: Bacteria; Pseudomonadati; Elusimicrobiota; Endomicrobiia; Endomicrobiales; Endomicrobiaceae.
GCCGACGUAGCUUAAUUGGUGGAGCAGCGGUUUUGUAAACCGCAGGUCAUAGGUUCGAUCCCUAUCGUCGGCU